CGGGUGAGUAACGCGUGGUCAACCUUCCCUACAGUGGGGGAUAACUAGCCGAAAGGUUAGCUAAUACCGCAUGACAUCUUCGAGAGGCAUUCUUUUGAAGAUAAAAGGAGCAAUCCGCUGAAGGACGGGACCGCGUCCCAUUAGCUAGUUGGUGGGGUAAUGGCCUACCAAGGCAACGAUGGGUAGCUGGUUUGAGAGAGCGACCAGCCACACUGGGACUGAGACACGGCCCAG
Molecule: ribosomal RNA, 234 nt
Filed under: uncultured bacterium
Lineage: Bacteria
Description: partial 16S ribosomal RNA
Rfam family: Bacterial small subunit ribosomal RNA
Source: RNAcentral